CUCCCCCGUUGCUGACUCCAGGUUCGAUAGCGCCAAUUAGGCGCCACCUCGCCAAGAACCAGCUUCGGUGAAGCGACGGGCGGUGUGUGCAUGG
Molecule: ribosomal RNA, 94 nt
Filed under: uncultured archaeon
Lineage: Archaea
Description: partial 16S ribosomal RNA
Source: RNAcentral